RNAcentral lists this ribosomal RNA (468 nucleotides) under uncultured bacterium. RNAcentral describes it as "partial 16S ribosomal RNA". It matches the Rfam family "Bacterial small subunit ribosomal RNA", at positions 28 to 507 of the family's 1533-position model. The record is from RNAcentral.
GACGAACGCUGGCGGCGUGCUUAACACAUGCAAGUCGAACGGAAAGGCCCUGCUUUUGUGGGGUGCUCGAGUGGCGAACGGGUGAGUAACACGUGAGUAACCUGCCCUUGACUUUGGGAUAACUUCAGGAAACUGGGGCUAAUACCGGAUAGGAGCUCCUGCUGCAUGGUGGGGGUUGGAAAGUUUCGGCGGUUGGGGAUGGACUCGCGGCUUGUCAGCUUGUUGGUGGGGUAGUGGCUUACCAAGGCUUUGACGGGUAGCCGGCCUGAGAGGGUGACCGGCCACAUUGGCACUGAGCUACGGCCCGGACUCCUACGGGAGGCAGCAGUGGGGAAUAUUGCACAAUGGGCGGAAGCCUGAUGCAGCAACGCCGCGUGCGGGAUGACGGCCUUCGGGUUGUAAACCGCUUUCGCCUGUGACGAAGCGUGAGUGACGGUAAUGGGUAAAGAAGCACCGGCUAACUACGUG